UCCCUGGUUCAAAUGGUAAAGCAUCUGCCUGCAAUGCAGGAGACCCAGGUUCAACCCCUGGGUUGGGAA
RNAcentral lists this transfer RNA (69 nucleotides) under Ovis aries (sheep). It matches the Rfam family "tRNA". Rfam says of the family: Transfer RNA (tRNA) molecules are approximately 80 nucleotides in length. Their secondary structure includes four short double-helical elements and three loops (D, anti-codon, and T loops). Lineage: Eukaryota; Metazoa; Chordata; Mammalia; Artiodactyla; Bovidae. The record is from Rfam by way of RNAcentral.